Non-coding RNA from Vicia faba (fava bean), 258 nucleotides. The record is from the annotation of a GenBank genome assembly. NCBI's taxonomy places the organism in Eukaryota, Viridiplantae, Streptophyta, Magnoliopsida, Fabales, Fabaceae.
AUGGCAACAUCCAAGUCUACUCGACUAGUCAACCAACAUAAUAUCAUUAUAGUUGCGACACUUAACACUCUUGGUCCACCAAGAGAGGCUCUACCUCUUCUAACAUUAGGAACUGAUCCAGUUCUAGUGACUUCUCCUUCCAUUCCAACUCCUCAAAAUCCAGGAACUGAUCCAGUUCUAGUGACUUCUCCUUCCAUUCCAACUCAUCAGAAUCCACUUCCUUUGUUUGUUGACCAUAGCUCAUUCCACAUCCUCUAG